This 226-nucleotide ribosomal RNA is filed under the name uncultured Pseudomonadales bacterium. Its description in RNAcentral is "partial 16S ribosomal RNA". It matches the Rfam family "Bacterial small subunit ribosomal RNA", at positions 104 to 334 of the family's 1533-position model. Lineage: Bacteria; Pseudomonadati; Pseudomonadota; Gammaproteobacteria; Pseudomonadales. The record is from RNAcentral.
GGGUGAGUAAUGCCUAGGAAUCUGCCUGGUAUGGGGGACAACGUUUCGAAAGGAACGCUAAUACCGCAUACGUCCUACGGGAGAAAGCAGGGGACCUUCGGGCCUUGCGCUAUCAGAUGAGCCUAGGUCGGAUUAGCUAGUUGGUGAGGUAAUGGCUCACCAAGGCGACGAUCCGUAACUGGUCUGAGAGGAUGAUCAGUCACACUGGAACUGAGACACGGUCCAG